This is a long non-coding RNA of Dreissena polymorpha, 3166 nucleotides long. RefSeq lists it as uncharacterized. NCBI's taxonomy places the organism in Eukaryota, Metazoa, Mollusca, Bivalvia, Myida, Dreissenidae. The record is from RefSeq and is a predicted model, not a curated record. The transcript is spliced from 5 exons.
AGGCGUAUCGUGUCACCAACGUUGAAGCUGAUCUCACCCUCACGUCUACUCUGGUGGGCCUCGACCGACACGAAGUUGUGUGCGUUCUGCCCGUGGACGUAAUAUGUGCUGUCGAGAGAUUUGAACCACUCUGAGGCAUCUCCAUGUAGCGGCUGCAUCAGCUCGUAUGCCGCUCUACAGACCUGCGGACGAGACAUCAGCAAGCAUUAGGGGAGGUCGUUUCAACUAGAGAUGUGAUGCCUACCGGGUUUGAUAGAUUCGACAGUGUGCAUACAGUACUUGUCAGGAUAAUAAAACAAAUAAUUGGAUAAGGAAAGUAAUACCUACAUUAGAUGAGAGGGUACAGACGAGAUAAUCACAUCGCGACAGCAGGAACGUCUGCAACAUGGCGCUUGGUCUUGUCACGUAGGUCACAAACUGACCGACCCACCAAGCCGGAGGGUCACCGUGAAUACGUGUCAAACGGUCAGCGAGGUCUUCCGGUAUUGCUAGCGGUAAAAAACGUGGGCGCGAAGACAAUUGAAAUAACUGCGGAAGCUCGAUGACUUGCGAACUAUCCGUCGUAGAAUUCGCUGCAAAAAUGCCAUAACUGUACAUACGUCCCCAUUGCGAUGCAACAACCGGACCGCCGGUCCAGCGGCACGUCUUGCUGAUUGGCAGGAAUAAAGACUCCCAGCCCUUGGCCGAGUAUGCCCAUCCCUCCCCCUUCAGGAUGAGCGUGCGCUGGGUAGCGUACGCCAUGAUCAGGCAGAAGGUCACAUGAUGCAGCUGACAUCCAUAUCCACAUCCAUUAGUUAACAGUUUGCAGAAAAUUUUCUUGGCCUUGUCACAAUCCGAAGGAUUCUGUGGAGAAAAUAGUUAAAGCCAUAUUAUUCUUAGGUUCGCAAUCAAUAUAUUGCGUGUUCUGAGACUUUUUGGUGCUAAUUGGGCAAGCGUCAUAAUGAUAAAACUAAUUAGAAAUGACGUCGCUAAUCUUGCGCUUAAUGUUUUGUAAAUUGCCUUACGUUUUUCUUAUUUAAGUCAUAUAAACAUCGGCAAAAACUGGUCAGUUAAAGUAUUUUCUAUCAAACAAUAGUUGAUUUUGACCUUUUAUUUCCAAUGAGAUGACCUAUUAUUCCCCUUUCACCAAAUUUGGCCAUAUAUAUUGCAAUUGCACACACAAUUAUUUAACACAUGUUCAUAUCGAUUUUAGUUUGAUGCUAAUAAUAGUAUUUGGAGUCUUUGAACAAGGUAAGUGUUAUUCUUUUAAUCAAUUUGACUUUUUAUGGUUAAAUGUCCUAAAUAAUUACAAAAAUAACAUAUUUACUUAGCCUCUCUGCUUAAUGUAUGUGCUAUAAGAGGAAGAAUUAGCACACUGUGAACAAGGAACUAUUGAUGUCUAUCCCACUUCCAGAUGUAAGAAUGCAAACAAUAAGCUCGUAUUACACAUAGUUGAUGUAACAUUUUGUAGAUUUAAGGUAGAAACCGCGUAAAGAGCACGGAAUUUUCCGUACAAUUUCGUAAGAUUUUCGUUGUAACUCGAAAAUGUCCGUUUGAGUCGGGAAUUUGAAUAUUUUUUUAUCAAAUACAAUUAUUUUCUCGCAUAUAGACUUUCUUUAUAUCGGAUUUUGAUACAUAAAAUUAAUUUACCAUAAAAUAGAAAGUUUUCCGUUUUUUGGUAAUUAUUAUUGGGAAUUCCUAGGAAACCCUCCAAGAGAGAUCACUCUACUCUCAAAACCAUAACAAAAACAAACAACAAUGAAUGGUAACAAAAAAAAGACGUUUGAAAUCCAAAUCUUAGAGAAAGGUUUCUGUUAAUCACAGGAAUGUGUUAGUUGAGCAUAAUUACAGUCCCGUCUUGAAUAUAUGAAAGUGCACAGAAGGUAAUUGUCCCGUUUUUAGCCAUAGAAAACAAAACGACAACUGGCAUGGACGUCGGAUUGUGGAAUUGGAUAUUUUAUUGAAGAGCAUCCAGUCCUGUCAGUCAUGUAUACUAGGACCCGUGCCACUAACAUUUGACAAUGUUGAGGAUGAACUAUAGAGAUGCUUCGGGGGCUACUUGUAUGUUGUGUAUUUACAUUUUGAAUGUGGUGCUGUUAACAGAGUACCAUAUGGAACAACACACCAUAUCAAAUCCAGAGGGAUGCCCUGUUUUGCAGUCAAUACAAAGCUUGGGAUAGCAAUGAUUGAUGGAUUGGGUGGUGCUGUAAAGGUCAACAAUUUCCUGUCAGCCCUGGACAUGAAAGAUAUCCAUCCAGAGAAUCUCAAACUGAUGGAAAACCGGGCUGGGGAAUUCAUUGAAGCUGUCGCCAAAGAGUCUGCAAAAGAUGCAGGUCAUGAGAAGAUGGCCUCCGAGACAUCUUCACUAUGACAAACUCUAAUGGAUUGGUCAACUGCGAGUUACUAGUAUGAAGAAAGUACUCGACAACGUUCUGCCAAAGCUUGCAGCUUUCUUUAUCACUGAAAAGUGUGUGAAAGUAACACAGCUGUUUAUUUAUGUGUGAUUUGUAAUAAUUAGUGCUAUCAAGCACAUCGUUGUUCAAUGCAUACAAAUUUAUCUUUUUUUUCUUGAAAUUUCUACAGAGUUGCAGCCCUUGAGCCAUCAAAUUUCUUGUAGAGUGCUGAUUUGUUAUUAGAUAUAUGAAAAGCAUAUAAAAUGGACACAUUUGUGCUUCAAUAUUUUUUAUUGUUCAUUUGUUUACAUUGCCAAAGUUACCUCCCUUUCUUUUGAAAAUACGCCUGGAAACAUACUAUAUAAUGUUUUCGAUUUGUUAAGCAUAGAUGCAAUAUUAAUAUUGUGAGCAAAAUUUUAGUGCCGGAACACACUUUCAUUGAAAAAAGUGCUUACAAAAUAUUCCAUAUAAUUUUUUUAUUCACAUUCUUUUAUGAAAAAAGGGGGGGGGGUCACCAUUGUAUAUCUCAAUUAUUUUUAGUUAGCUGUGGUGAACAUUGCCAUACACAGUAUAUUUUUCACAACUAAUGUUUACUUAUACUUUUUAAGUCAAGUAUAUUAGUGGGCAAUGAUAAUUUAUUGUCUUUUUUCAGAUUUAAAAGUUUGUCAUUUCCAUGUAUAAUGUAAAAUUUAUAGAAACAGAUUCUUCACAUUAUACAAUUCUUAGAUGUAUAUUAAAAAUAACAACACAUAUGUUGAUUAUCUUUAUUUAUUUUGUAGAUAUAUCAUUAUGGU